This 602-nucleotide ribosomal RNA is filed under the name uncultured archaeon. Its description in RNAcentral is "bacterial SSU rRNA". It matches the Rfam family "Archaeal small subunit ribosomal RNA", at positions 1 to 609 of the family's 1478-position model. The record is from RNAcentral.
UUUCCGGUUGAUCCCGCCGGAGGCCACUGCUAUUGGGGUUCGACUAAGCCAUGCGAGUCUAUGGACUUCGGUCCAUGGCGGACGGCUCAGUAACACGUGGCUAACCUACCCUCAGGUGGGGGAUAACCUCGGGAAACUGAGGGUAAUACCCCAUAGGGGAAGAGGUCUGGAAUGAUCCUUCCUUGAAAGGACAUCCGCCUGAGGAUGGGGCUGCGUCCGAUUAGGUAGUUGGUGGGGUAAUGGCCCACCAAGCCUACGACCGGUACGGGCCUUGAGAGAGGAAGCCCGGAGAUGGGGACUGAGACACGGCCCCAGGCCCUACGGGGCGCAGCAGGCGCGAAACCUCCACAAUGCACGAAAGUGCGAUGGGGGAACCCCAAGUGCCUAUGCACAGCAUAGGCUUUUCCCAAGUGUAAACAGCUUGGGGAAUAAGGGCUGGGCAAGUCCGGUGCCAGCGGCCGCGGUGACACCGGCGGCCCGAGUGGUGGCCACUCUUAUUGGGCCUAAAGCGUCCGUAGCCGGUCCGGUAAGUCCCUGUUUAAAUCCUACGGCUCAACCGUAGGGCUGGCAGGGAUACUGCUGGACUUGGGACCGGGAGAGGA